AGUGGCUACCCCAGUGAAGAAAAUCACAGUCUUUACCUUAGCAAGGAUUGCUAAAGACCUGCUCAUGAACUCAUGGAGCCUCAUGAACUCCCAGGCAUGGUUGGAUACUGAUGACCUCAAUCACUGCUGUGAUGAGUUGGAACAUAUUAUUGUCCAAGAUAAAAGAUGCCUAUUAUAGACUUUGAAGAGGAAAACUGUUGGAAUGUCAAGAAAAUAAAUUUCCUUCUUUGACUGCUUGACAGAUGCUAAGGAAGUUCUUGUCAUAUUGUCUAAGAUCAUUUAUCCUGUCUACCAAGAGGAAAUUAAAUACUAUUCCACAACAAUAGAG
This is a long non-coding RNA of Mastomys coucha (southern multimammate mouse), 328 nucleotides long. RefSeq lists it as uncharacterized. The transcript has 3 exons. The record is from RefSeq and is a predicted model, not a curated record. NCBI's taxonomy places the organism in Eukaryota, Metazoa, Chordata, Mammalia, Rodentia, Muridae.